CCUACGGGUGGCAGCAGUGAGGAAUAUUGGUCAAUGGACGCACGCCUGAACCAGCCAUGCCGCGUGAGGGAAGACGGCCCUAUGAGUUGUAAACCGCUUUUAUACGAGGGUAACCGCAGAUACGUGUAUCUGUCUGAAAGUAUCCUACGAAUAAGGAUUCGCCAACCCCGGGCCAGCAGCCGCCGUAAUACGGAGGGGUCAAGCGUUAUUCGGAUUUAUUGGGUUUAAAGGGUGCGUAGGCGGUCGGAUAAGUUAGAGGUGAAAUCCCGAGGCUCAACUUCGGAAUUGCCUCUGAUACUGUGCGGCUAGAGAGUAGUUGCGGUAGGCGGAAUGUAUGGUGUAGCGGUGAAAUGCGUAGAGAUCAGACAGAACACCGAUUGCGAAGGCAGCUGACCAAGCUACUUCUGACGUUGAGGCACGAAAGCGUGGGGAGCAAACAGGAUGAGAUACCCUGGUAGUC
This 460-nucleotide ribosomal RNA is filed under the name uncultured bacterium. RNAcentral describes it as "partial 16S ribosomal RNA". It matches the Rfam family "Bacterial small subunit ribosomal RNA", at positions 338 to 795 of the family's 1533-position model. The record is from RNAcentral.